GAUGAACGCUGGCGGCGUGCCUAAUACAUGCAAGUCGAGCGAACAGACGAGGAGCUUGCUCCUCUGACGUUAGCGGCGGACGGGUGAGUAACACGUGGAUAACCUACCUAUAAGACUGGGAUAACUUCGGGAAACCGGAGCUAAUACCGGAUAAUAUAUUGAACCGCAUGGUUCAAUAGUGAAAGACGGUUUUGUUUUCACUUAUAGAUGGAUCCGCGCCGCAUUAGCUAGUUGGUAAGGUAACGGCUUACCAAGGCAACGAUGCGUAGCCGACCUGAGAGGGUGAUCGGCCACACUGGAACUGAGACACGGUCCAGACUCCUACGGGAGGCAGCAGUAGGGAAUCUUCCGCAAUGGGCGAAAGCCUGACGGAGCAACGCCGCGUGAGUGAUGAAGGUCUUCGGAUCGUAAAACUCUGUUAUUAGGGAAGAACAAAUGUGUAAGUAACUAUGCACGUCUUGACGGUACCUAAUCAGAAAGCCACGGCUAACUACGUG
This 497-nucleotide ribosomal RNA is filed under the name uncultured bacterium. Its description in RNAcentral is "partial 16S ribosomal RNA". It matches the Rfam family "Bacterial small subunit ribosomal RNA", at positions 28 to 507 of the family's 1533-position model. The record is from RNAcentral.